AGUGAACGCUGGCGGUAGGCCUAACACAUGCAAGUCGAACGGCAGCACAGUAAGAGCUUGCUCUUACGGGUGGCGAGUGGCGGACGGGUGAGGAAUACAUCGGAAUCUACUUUUUCGUGGGGGAUAACGUAGGGAAACUUACGCUAAUACCGCAUACGACCUACGGGUGAAAGCAGGGGAUCUUCGGACCUUGCGCGAUUGAAUGAGCCGAUGUCGGAUUAGCUAGUUGGCGGGGUAAAGGCCCACCAAGGCGACGAUCCGUAGCUGGUCUGAGAGGAUGACAAGCCACACUGGAACAAGAGCACGCUCCAGACUCCGGGGAGAGGGAGAAGGGGGGAAGAGAGAAGAAGGGGGGCAAGCUUGAUCCGCCCAUGCGAGGGGGGUAAAGAGGGCCUUCGGGUUAUAAAGCCCUUUUGUGGGAAAAAAAAAAGAGCAGGUAAAAACCCCGCUGUUCGGACGUUCCCAAAAAAAAAGACCCGGGCAAAUUUCGGC
This 492-nucleotide ribosomal RNA is filed under the name uncultured bacterium. RNAcentral describes it as "partial 16S ribosomal RNA". It matches the Rfam family "Bacterial small subunit ribosomal RNA", at positions 29 to 508 of the family's 1533-position model. The record is from RNAcentral.